GAGCCGUCUGGUGAGCACAUAGCGAACUAUUCAUUUACCUUUUACUAAAGAAUAUCGUGUGCUCUCCACUUAAAGCGGCAUACGUCUAUUUUUUUUGGAAGGGUAUUCUUAACUGAAUGCC
This is a small nuclear RNA of Hibiscus syriacus, 121 nucleotides long. RefSeq annotates it as U5 spliceosomal RNA. The transcript has a single exon. The record is from RefSeq and is a predicted model, not a curated record. Lineage: Eukaryota; Viridiplantae; Streptophyta; Magnoliopsida; Malvales; Malvaceae.